This 442-nucleotide ribosomal RNA is filed under the name uncultured bacterium. RNAcentral describes it as "partial 16S ribosomal RNA". It matches the Rfam family "Bacterial small subunit ribosomal RNA", at positions 338 to 795 of the family's 1533-position model. The record is from RNAcentral.
CCUACGGGAGACAGCAGUGGGGAAUAUUGGGCAAUGGACGCAAGUCUGACCCAGCAACGCCGCGUGAAGGAAGAAGGCUUUCGGGUUGUAAACUUCUUUUAAGGGGGAAGAGGAGAAGAAGGUACCCCUUGAAUAAGCCACGGCUAACUACGUGCCAGCAGCCGCGGUAAUUCGUAGGUGGCAAGCGUUGUACGGAGUUACGGGGGGGAAGGGGCGUGCAGGCGGGCCGAAAAGUGAGAUGUGAAAUCCGCGGGCUUAACCCGGGAACUGCCUUUCAAACUUGAGGUCUUGAGGGCCGGAGAGGUAAGCGGAAUUCCUUGUGUAGCGGUGAAAUGCGUAGAUAUAAGGAAGAACACCAGUGGCGAAGGCGGAUUACUGGACGGUAACUGACGGUGAGGCGCGAAAGCGUGGGGAGCAAACAGGAUUAGAUACCCCUGUAGUC